This 477-nucleotide ribosomal RNA is filed under the name uncultured bacterium. RNAcentral describes it as "SSU rRNA". It matches the Rfam family "Bacterial small subunit ribosomal RNA", at positions 26 to 522 of the family's 1533-position model. The record is from RNAcentral.
AGGACGAACGCUGGCGGCGUGCUUAACACAUGCAAGUCGAGCGGAAAGGCCCUUCGGGGUACUCGAGCGGCGAACGGGUGAGUAACACGUGAGCAAUCUGCCCUUAGCUUCGGGAUAGCCCCGGGAAACCGGGAUUAAUACCGAAUACGACCUCGGCCGACAUCGGCCUUGGUGGAAAGUUUUUCGGCUAGGGAUGAACUCGCGGCCUAUCAGCUUGUUGGUGGGGUAAUAGCCUACCAAGGCGACGACGGGUAGCCGGCCUGAGAGGGCGACCGGCCACACUGGGACUGAGACACGGCCCAGACUCCUACGGGAGGCAGCAGUGGGGAAUAUUGCGCAAUGGGCGAAAGCCUGACGCAGCGACGCCGCGUGAGGGAUGACGGCCUUCGGGUUGUAAACCUCUUUCAGCUCUGACGAAGCGCAAGUGACGGUAGGAGCGAGAAGAAGCACCGGCCAACUACGUGCCAGCACGCCGAC